RNAcentral lists this ribosomal RNA (253 nucleotides) under uncultured bacterium. RNAcentral describes it as "partial 16S ribosomal RNA". It matches the Rfam family "Bacterial small subunit ribosomal RNA", at positions 524 to 776 of the family's 1533-position model. The record is from RNAcentral.
UACGUAGGGUGCAAGCGUUGUCCGGAAUUAUUGGGCGUAAAGAGCUCGUAGGCGGUCUGUCGCGUCGGUUGUGAAAACACAAGGCUCAACCUUGUGCCUGCAAUCGAUACGGGCAGACUAGAGUACUGCAGGGGAGACUGGAAUUCCUGGUGUAGCGGUGGAAUGCGCAGAUAUCAGGAGGAACGCCCGCGGCGAAAGCGAGCUCCUGGACGUCUGCUGACGCUGAGACGCGAAAGCCAGGGGAGCGAACGGG